UUUGGUUCACAGCCUUCAUUGCAUUACCUACUGGGGCAAACAAAGUAAAACCGGAUAAAGCUGAAGGUUCAAACAAGUGGUGGAAGGAGUAUGGAAAUUAAUCUUGUGGAAGUGGUUCUCUGUGUGAGAAACAUCGGCCUGACCACCUGACUUUCUGAUCACAUUCCACUGGGAAAAAGUCCAAGGAACAUCCCUAUCACAUUCUGCUGGAACAAGGACCAAGUCACCUCAUCAUGGGAACAUCUUAUCAAUAGCCUGUUGGGCAGCAAGCCAUACUGCCCAGACCCCUCCCUCCCAUACCUGCAAAGGCCCAACUAAAGAAACCUCCCUAUCCUGUCUUACUGGGCAAAGGCCCAAGGAACACCAUGAUGACAUCCCACCAGAAAAAGGGUCAAACCACCCUAUCAUGGGUACAUCUUAUUGAUAUCCUGCCGGGCAGCAAGCCACACUAUCCAGACUUCUCCCAGCC
Molecule: long non-coding RNA, 469 nt
Organism: Homo sapiens (human)
Lineage: Eukaryota; Metazoa; Chordata; Mammalia; Primates; Hominidae
Exons: 3
Source: RefSeq, a predicted model, not a curated record